This 496-nucleotide ribosomal RNA is filed under the name uncultured bacterium. RNAcentral describes it as "partial 16S ribosomal RNA". It matches the Rfam family "Bacterial small subunit ribosomal RNA", at positions 29 to 507 of the family's 1533-position model. The record is from RNAcentral.
AUGAACGCUGGCGGCGUGCCUAAUACCUGCAAGUCGAGCGAACAGACGAGGAGCUUGCUCCUCUGACGUUAGCGGCGGACGGGUGAGUAACACGUGGAUAACCUACCUAUAAGACUGGGAUAACUUCGGGAAACCGGAGCUAAUACCGGAUAAUAUAUUGAACCGCAUGGUUCAAUAGUGAAAGACGGUUUUGCUGUCACUUAUAGAUGGAUCCGCGCCGCAUUAGCUAGUUGGUAAGGUAACGGCUUACCAAGGCAACGAUGCGUAGCCGACCUGAGAGGGUGAUCGGCCACACUGGAACUGAGACACGGUCCAGACUCCUACGGGAGGCAGCAGUAGGGAAUCUUCCGCAAUAGGCGAAAGCUUGACGGAGCAACGCCGCGUGAGUGAUGAAGGUCUUCGGAUCGUAAAACUCUGUUAUUAGGGAAGAACAAAUGUGUAAGUAACUAUGCACGUCUUGACGGUACCUAAUCAGAAAGCCGCGGCUAACUACGUG